RNAcentral lists this long non-coding RNA (3511 nucleotides) under Mytilus galloprovincialis (Mediterranean mussel). The record is from RNAcentral. Lineage: Eukaryota; Metazoa; Mollusca; Bivalvia; Mytilida; Mytilidae.
CUUCCUUUCCCACAGAAACGUUCUUUUCAUAAGACUAAAUUAGGUAUGUAAUUUGUAUCAUUUUAUCUCUGUACAUUACAGUUACAUUCUACACAGACAUCCACACAAACACACAUACUAUAACUAUGUAGCAGGGUUGGUUUUUUUUUCCUUUUUUUAUUUUAUUUUGAUCAACUUUCGGUUCAGUUGUUUGUGAGAUAUGUUAGAACACGUUGAAUGCCUUACUAAUGUUGCCUAUUUCAACUAUUUGUUAUUGUUCGCUUCGAUUUUUGUGGACUGUUUUUUAUUGUUCCCGCGUAAUACGGUAUUUGGGGACAUUGAAAUAUUGGACGUCCUUAAAUACCGUCCUUCUAUUCGCACGUCUAUCCGUCCUGUCUUGUUUAAUAGCGCGCUAUUAAUGACAUCUAUAAUUCUUGCCAAAUUUUUAUAAAACUCAUAACAUAGGUUUACAUCAACAAUGUAUUUGACUACAAAUGUAGUACUGAUCAUAUAUUUAUAAAAGAGAUACAAUGUAUAUAAUCCAUUUAUAAUUAUUGAUUGGAAAAUUGUAUUGUCAGCGAAAUCAUUUGUACAAUAUGUGACAGAAUUUUAUAAAACUUAUACAAUAGGUUAUAUUAUUAUAACUAACACGAGUGCGGAAAGUAAUGCCAAUCAAAUAUUUUUAAUAGACGUGUUAUGAAAUUGUAUAUAUAGCAAUGACGAGGUUGACAAAUUAAACUUUAAAUGCCGGUUUCGAACCACAGCACACAAAUUAUUUAAAGAUUUUAAUUACCUUUGUCUCAAUAAAAUCAUGUUUUAAAAUGUAUAGUAAUGAUGUCUGCUUAUAUUUACUUCAAUAACCAACAUCUUUUUAAAAACUUUAUCAUAGCUAGUUUCCUGAUGAAUAUUCCUUAUGGAACAAAUGUUCUAUAAUCAUAAUUAUUUCGUGAAGAAUAAAGAUGAUUUACUGCUUUUAACUUUAAAAAAAGGGGGGCUAUAUUUGUUUGUAUUUACAUGUACCUUUGUACAGUGUAUCCAAAUUCAUUAAAUAUGAAAAUGCAUUCCCUUGAAUCGUUUCUUUUCUUCACUAGUCUAUAGCUAUAUACUAUAAAAUUGAGAAUGGAAAUGGGGAAUGUGUCAAAGAGACAACAACCCGGCCAUAGAAUAUACAACAGCAAAAGGUAACUAAUAGGUCUUCAAUUUAGCGAGAAAUUCCCGCACCUGGAGGCAUCCUUCAGCUGGCCACUAAACAAAUAUAUAUAUAUAUUAGUUCAGUGAUAGUGAACGUCAUACUAAACUCCAAAUUUUACACAAAAAACUAAAAAUACUCUGUCUGAUACCUAUUCAGGAAAAGAUCGAUUUCCUUUCUAUUAUUUGCAUGUAAAAUGUGACCGGUUUGACUUAAGGAUGUUUGCUCCUCUAUUUUUUGAAUUUUUGGCCAGAUUUUCGGAAUCCUCUGGUUUUACCCAUGUAUUGACAUUUCAAAAAUUUGCCCACUAACCCCUACUUUUCUUUUCAUAUUUUUAUUAAAUAUUAUUUAAAAAGCCAUAUUUCAAAAUCUUAUGAAAUCCUUGUUAUUUUUUCUUAGUUUUUUAAACAGAAAAGGUGCCAAUGUAAAGUGUAAGAAAAAUCUAGAGAAAAUGAUUUCCCGUCAAAUUGUCAACGGCUUAUAUCUUGAAAACAAGCAUACUUUUUUUUCUGCUUUUUUAGUUUCUUUAUUUAGAUACUUUCAAUUUAUAACAGUCUUUUAAAAAGCUUGUUAUUUUUAAACAGAGUAGGGAACAUCCUUAACGACAUUUUAUAUAUAUAUAUUCCUGCAAAGUAUUGAAAUAUACCGCUUUGUAAUUUCUGAGGUACGAGUUAUGCCCCUUGGAAAUAUAUAUCAUAAAGGAAAUUGCAUAGUUACAUUUGCUCUGAAGCAUUCAUUUGGUUAAGAUAUUUAUGAAACGUUUUUAUAAGGAGAAUGACCGAAUGUCCUUGAACCUUGGAAAGAUAAAAAAAGACACUGAACUUUUUUCAAAGCUAACGUUGUACUUUACCAUACAUAUUAUUUAAAUAAGGUUUAGCAACAUCUUAGGUGUUAAUUAUAAAAAAAAACUAUAUUUGAAAAACUUCCAAAUUUUAUAAUCGAAUGUGUGUCGAGUAAAACAUCUUCUUUAUUGCAAAACUAUAUAUUUAUUGUAGUUUUAAAGAGUAUAGUUUCCAGUUAAACAUAUAUAUGUCUCUAUACUCUUGUUGCGUGAUACUAAGUAUACUCAAAGUACGAAAAGUUUGUAGUGAUAAAAAAGAUGUUUGUGGCCACCGUGAAUUAUAUGUACUUAUGUGAAUGAGCACAACUACUUUAAAAAUUGGUAUUUGCUGCUUAUUCGCUAAGCAUAGAGUUAUUGAAUCGGAGUCAGAAGCGUUAGUAGGAUAAGACGUCUUAUUAGUAUAUUAUGUGUGUCACUGUCUGAACAAUAGCCUGUGAAAAUGAUGAUAUUGAAUUUAAAUGACUAUUGAACUUAAUAUUAGUAUCAAAGGCCAUAAAGCUAAAUUGAAUUAUGAACAAUAAAGUAUGCGAAGCAUUUCAGAAUAUAUCAAAGUAUUAAUUCAAGUACAAGCAAUCUAUUGUAGGAUUAUGGCCACCAAUUGGAGUAUCUGCGGAAUGUGUGAUCAUCUUCAUAUUACCAAACUUGCAGUAGUAUGGUGUUCCGAAUGUGACGAAGGACUUUGUGAAGAGUGUAAAAACCAUCACGAUGUUUCCAAAGCAACAAAAAGCCAUGCAGCUGUUUCUAUCUCUGAAUACAAAAUGUUGCCGACCAAAGUCCUGCGAAUCGCUCAGAAUUGCAAACUUCAUAAUGAGAAAUACGAGCUGUUCUGUAGAAAACAUGAUUGUCCAUGCUGUAAGAAAUGUGUGAAAUCUCACAACGAUUGUAAAGGUUUAAUUGACAUAAAUGAACUCAUAAAAAACGUAAAAACUUCAAGCGCUUUUAAUGAAAUAGAACAAACCCUGCAGGAAGUCGUUGAGAAUAUUAAAAGACUCAGAACUAAUUGGAAAGAAAAUUUAAAAUCUAUAGAAAACAAGAAAAGAGAAAUUGAAGCAGAAAUAAAACAAACCAGGAUACAAGUAAAUCACCACCUUGAUAAACUUCAGGAUGACUUGAUUAAAGAAUUAAUGAGAGUUGAACAAAAAGAAAAAAGCAAAAUAGAAAAAUUGAUGACUUCUCUGAAAAAGAAGGAAAAAGAGAUCGCUGAAGUACAAGAACAAUUUUGCCAGUAUUAAACAGCAUGCGUCCGAACUUCAAACAUUUUUAACAAUGAAAGAUAUCGAAAAAGAUAUUGCAGGCGAAGAAAAAUUUAUUCAAAUGAUUGCCACAAAUGGCUCCACAAAUCAAGUCAAUAUUUCAUGUCAGAUUAACAAGUCUUUACAGCAAAUACAGCCAACGUGCAGAAGUUUGGAGAAAUUAAUGUCAGUUCUGAUCCAUGUGAUUUUUCCAUUCAGAAACGGAAGGACAGACAAGCCCAGAUUAUGGUAUCUCUUCCAACCAAAUAU